GGCGCUUGAGGCUUUUUGCCUCAUGACGUAAAGGUGGUUUGUUACCGUGUUGUGCGGCAGAAAGCAGAAAGCCCCGUAGUUAAUUUUCAUUAACCCACGAGGCCCCCUGUAUGUCUCAUCAACAACAGUAUGGCCUCUUACCGUGCUCAAUGCAAGGAGGAGUAAACCAU
Molecule: antisense RNA, 170 nt
Filed under: Klebsiella variicola
Lineage: Bacteria; Pseudomonadati; Pseudomonadota; Gammaproteobacteria; Enterobacterales; Enterobacteriaceae
Description: sok antitoxin (CssrC)
Rfam family: sok antitoxin (CssrC)
About the family: Also identified in Shigella as CssrC.
Source: RNAcentral